This 76-nucleotide transfer RNA is filed under the name Planctomycetaceae bacterium. RNAcentral describes it as "tRNA-Gly". It matches the Rfam family "tRNA". From Rfam's summary of the family: Transfer RNA (tRNA) molecules are approximately 80 nucleotides in length. The record is from RNAcentral. Lineage: Bacteria; Pseudomonadati; Planctomycetota; Planctomycetia; Planctomycetales; Planctomycetaceae. RNAcentral also lists the same sequence under 1 other name.
GCGGGUGUAGCUCAGUUGGCAGAGCACAACGUUGCCAACGUUGUUGUCGUGGGUUCGAAUCCCAUCACCCGCUCUA